RNAcentral lists this non-coding RNA (785 nucleotides) under Choristoneura occidentalis (western spruce budworm). Lineage: Eukaryota; Metazoa; Arthropoda; Insecta; Lepidoptera; Tortricidae. The record is from RNAcentral.
AUAUAAAAUAAAUUUUUUAUGAUUUAUAAAAAUUUUUUAAAAUUUAUUUUACAUAUAAAUUUUAGUGUAAAUUUUUAAAUAUUUUAAGAAUAUUUAAUUUUAUUAAAUUAGUAAUUAAUAUUAAAAAUUUAAGAAAUUAAGAUUUAGUAAUAUUAAAAUUAAUAACAAAUUUUGUGCCAGCAGUUGCGGUUAUACAAAAGUUAAAUUAAAUUUUAUUAGUAAUAAUUAAUAUAAAAUAAUUUAAUUUAAAUAUUMAAUUAAUAAGUGAAAUUUUAAUUUAAUUAAAAAUUAUAAUAAAAAUUGUAUGAUUUAAUAAAUUUUAAUAUAAACUAGGAUUAGAUACCCUAUUAUUAAAAAUUUAAAUUUAAAAUACUAAAAUAGUAAAUAAUUAUUUAUUUAAACUUAAAUAAUUUGGCGGUAUUUUAGUUCAUUUAGAGGAAUCUGUUUAUUAAUUGAUAAUCCACGAAUAAUUUUACUUARUUUAUAAUUUUGUAUAUCGUUGUUAAAAAAAUAUUUUUAAAUAAAUUUAAUAUUUUAAAAUUUAAAAAGAAAAUUAAAUCAGAUCAAGAUGCAGAUAAUAAUUAAGAAUAUAAUGGAUUACAAUAAAUUUAUUUAUAUGAAUAUUAAAUUGAAAAAUUUAAUUGAAAGUGGAUUUAAAUGUAAUUUUAUUUAAUUUAAUAAAAUGAUUUUAAAUUAAAAUAUGUACAUAUUGCCCGUCGCUUUCAUUAAUAAGUUGAAAUAAGUCGUAACAAAGUAGAGGUACUGGAAAGUGUUUCUAGAAAGAA